This 26-nucleotide non-coding RNA is filed under the name Rattus norvegicus (Norway rat). The record is from RNAcentral. Lineage: Eukaryota; Metazoa; Chordata; Mammalia; Rodentia; Muridae.
UGUCUACCAUCUCAAGUUCAAAGGUU